This is a long non-coding RNA of Gossypium arboreum, 336 nucleotides long. RefSeq lists it as uncharacterized. Lineage: Eukaryota; Viridiplantae; Streptophyta; Magnoliopsida; Malvales; Malvaceae. The record is from RefSeq and is a predicted model, not a curated record. The transcript is spliced from 3 exons.
UAAAUGUACCUUUCUUGGCUGAUCCCUUUCGCUGUAUGGCGUGCUCGUUUGGGUUGGGCGUCGGCUAAGAGUGCUCGGAGCGUAGAUUAACUCCAGUCGCCAAUCAGGUUAAAGCCCAUCUGGUACUGUCUGUUAAAAUGGGUUAAACCCAAUUGAUACUGAAAUUGUAAUUUCCAGCCUUAGAUGGAUCGGAGCUGCGAGGGGCUCGGAAGAAGCCACACACACUGUUUAUUUUAUAGUUUUGAUUAUUACUUUUAAAUGUUUUAUGUGGGUUGUAGUAAAGCCGUUGUAAUUUUCUGGAUUUCAAAUUUGAAAUUUUAUUUAUUGUUCUUAUAA